AUAUUCUUGUCAUGUCAUAUUCUUCUGCCAAACAGUGACUGGAGCUGGGGAUAGCAGUGAAAGGGUUAUUUUCAUGUAAGAAAAUAAUCAUAAGGGUAGCAUCUGGAUUUCUGAAAGAAAAAACCUUUUAAAUCAUAUUUUCAUUUCAGAAAAUAAUCCAGCAGGACUAGAAGUCUAGAAACAUUAGACUCCAUAUCUUGUGGUAGUGUUGUGAGGCACAAGGUCAAAGAACAAUUUCCUUCAGCUCUCAAGAACUGAAUGAGGUCAGUUUCAGCCCACACAUAGUAUGCCUUUCGUGAGUUUUCCCACACUCCAGAGAGUAAAGAGGGAUGAAUUCUUUGAACAAGUUGGAAAGUACAUUUUAGGUGCUGUGAUUGCUGCAUGCAUUUUUUGGGGCUUGGUGUAUGCUUUACUCAUGUGGUUCUACAGAUGGUAAGUGCUACAAGUGUUACACAUCCCGCUAUCAGAUUUAGCUGUGGAAAUAUAUGAAAAAAGAGCUUUUAAAGUAAGUAAUCAAAGAAACCAGAAU
This is a long non-coding RNA of Trachemys scripta elegans, 529 nucleotides long. RefSeq lists it as uncharacterized. The transcript has 3 exons. The record is from RefSeq and is a predicted model, not a curated record. Lineage: Eukaryota; Metazoa; Chordata; Testudines; Emydidae.